GUGAGGAAUAUUGGUCAAUGGGCGAGAGCCUGAACCAGCCAAGUCGCGUGAAGGAAGAAGGAUCUAUGGUUCGUAAACUUCUUUUGCAGGGGAAUAAAGUGCGGGACGUGUCCUGUUUUGUAUGUACCCUGAGAAUAAGGAUCGGCUAACUCCGUGCCAGCAGCCGCGGUAAUACGGAGGAUCCGAGCGUUAUCCGAAUUUAUUGGGUUUAAAGGGUGCGUAGGUGGUUUGAUAAGUCAGCGGUGAAAGUUUGCAGCUUAACUGUAAAAAUGCCGUUGAAACUGUCGGACUUGAGUGUAAAUGAGGUAGGCGGAAUGCGUGGUGUAGCGGUGAAAUGCAUAGAUAUCACGCAGAACUCCGAUUGCGAAGGCAGCUUACUAAGCUACAACUGACACUGAAGCACGAAAGCGUGGGGAUCAAACAGGAUUAGAUACCCGGGUAGUCC
Molecule: ribosomal RNA, 445 nt
Filed under: uncultured bacterium
Lineage: Bacteria
Description: partial 16S ribosomal RNA
Rfam family: Bacterial small subunit ribosomal RNA
Source: RNAcentral